This is a long non-coding RNA of Saccostrea cuccullata (small rock oyster), 1340 nucleotides long. RefSeq lists it as uncharacterized. The transcript is spliced from 4 exons. The record is from RefSeq and is a predicted model, not a curated record. Lineage: Eukaryota; Metazoa; Mollusca; Bivalvia; Ostreida; Ostreidae.
ACUAUCUGAAUAAUUUUUCACUGAAAAUACAAUUUUUUUUAAUAUCAAAAUAAGUUUUAUCAAUGAAGAAUUCGAACUUUUUACGUCAUCAAUUAAUUUGGACUAAGAUUACAAUAACAUCGGGAUCGAAGUCGGGCUCAAUGAACAAUUAAUUUUAACAACACCGAAAUUCAAAAAUAUCGAAUGCCGUGUUCAUCAUGUUGAUGUUCCACAGAAGGAAAGUUGGAACGAGUGCCACGAACAGGGGGAUCAUGGUCAGCUUGGGAUGGAAGAAGAUGACGAUAUUUUUAAGACCGUUGCUGCAUUGCCUGAGAUGAUUUUCACAGUCCUGGCCUUUGAUAAAGUGCAUAUACAUGUAGAUGCUUAACCAAUCAGUCACUAGGCUUGUGAAUAUGGAAUCCGGAUGCUCACAAGAUUUGGGACAAGAACUAUAUUAAAAAAAUGAAAUUGUGCAAGGAAAGUUUGAAGUGUCUGUUGGAAUGAUCAACAUCGAACUUGCUGAGUUUUCGUACUAAAAGUGAAUCCGUUGGUGACGCCAAUUACCUGUCAACCCUCUAUUGCAAAUUUCAUGGGAUAUCUGAGGAUGUGAUUCUAGCAACAUGUCAGAAGUUUUGUAUCUUCCAUAAUUGGGAUCUUUGGCACAUACAUUGGUGGAAAAUAGCAAAUGUUCAUUUAUGGGAUCUUUGUGUCAAUGUUGUUGUGUACUACAUAUAUUUUUGCAUUUAAUACAUGUGUUUGUCACUCUUGUCACUAACUUUGUACAGUAAAUGUACAUGGGCUACUGGCACUUUAUUGUAAAUGUAUAUACUGUUGAGGUUUCAAUGACCUCUCCCAAUCCUUGGCCAAUGUCAUUUAAUGAAUCUAACCUCUUAUUUAAAAAAAAGUUCAUACUUUAGUUUACUACAUACAUGUAUAUCAUAACUUGAUUAUCACUAAUUUAACCAAGGCGAUCCCCCAGUAAUCUUAUUUUUUCUUGGAUAUUUCUGUUAAUAACCUUUGAUGUAAAAUACUUUGCAGUUUCAUUGAGAAUACAUACAUUUAAAAAAGUGUGCUUAUAUUGUACAUCUGAGUGGUAUAUGCUAUUAUAUUUGUCUCAAAAAACAUUGUAAAAGAAACUGUGAAUUUUUUAUUUUGCAACUUGUUUAAAAUUUGAUGUUAGAGAAAAUUUGGUCGAACAAAGUUGUGUGAUGAAAAACGACAUUAUUUAAAGCACAUUAUGAUGAUUAUAACUGUUUCAUUUAAAUUAUGAAGAAACAUAAAUAAUCAAUUUGAAAAAAAAUGCUGUCAAUGGUGAUGCAGUGUUUGUUUGAUUAAAAUCAAAUAAAAACACGAAAUGUUAA